GCCCUGUGACCACAAAGUUUAACGGCCGCGGUAUCCUGACCGUGCGAAGGUAGCGUAAUCACUUGUCUUUUAAAUGAAGACCUGUAUGAAUGGCAUAACGAGGGUUUAACUGUCUCCUUCCCCCAGUCAAUGAAAUUGAUCUGCCCGUGCAGAAGCGGACAUAAAAACAUAAGACGAGAAGACCCUAUGGAGCUUUAGGCCAAGGAACAAGCAUGUUAAUAGACUAUACAAAACCAAAGAGACAAAAAAGUCACAAUAAACCAAAUGUAAAAUNAACCAAGUGCCUUCGGUUGGGGCGACCACGGGGAAAAGACAAACCCCCACAUGGAAUGGAGAUAACCCUCCUAAACUAAGAAGUACACUUCUAAAGUNACAGAAUUUCUGACCAAAAAUGACCCAAGGAUAAUGGUGUCCUGAUCAAUGAACCAAGUUNCCCUAGGGAUAACAGCGCAAUCCUUUCCCAAGAGCCCAUAUCGACGAAAGGGUUUACGACCUCGAUGUUGGAUCAGGACAUCCUAAUGGUGCAGCCGCUAUUAAGGGUUCGUUUGUUCAACG
This 555-nucleotide ribosomal RNA is filed under the name Facciolella gilbertii (dogface witch-eel). Its description in RNAcentral is "partial 16S ribosomal RNA". It matches the Rfam family "Bacterial large subunit ribosomal RNA", at positions 1861 to 2586 of the family's 2925-position model. Lineage: Eukaryota; Metazoa; Chordata; Actinopteri; Anguilliformes; Nettastomatidae. The record is from RNAcentral.